Molecule: ribosomal RNA, 514 nt
Filed under: Clostridioides difficile
Lineage: Bacteria; Bacillati; Bacillota; Clostridia; Peptostreptococcales; Peptostreptococcaceae
Description: bacterial LSU rRNA
Rfam family: Bacterial large subunit ribosomal RNA
Source: RNAcentral
GCGGUCGCCUCCCAAAAGGUAACGGAGGCGCUCAAAGGUUCUCUCAGUACGGUCGGAAAUCGUACGUAGAGUGUAAAGGCAAAAGAGAGCUUGAUUGCAAGACAUACAGGUCGAGCAAGGAUGAAAAUCGGACUUAGUGAUCCGGUGGUUCUGCGUGGAAGGGCCAUCGCUCAACGGAUAAAAGCUACCCUGGGGAUAACAGGCUUAUCUCCCCCAAGAGUCCACAUCGACGGGGAGGUUUGGCACCUCGAUGUCGGCUCAUCACCUCCUGGGGCUGUAGUAGGUCCCAAGGGUUGGGCUGUUCGCCCAUUAAAGUGGUACGCGAGCUGGGUUCAGAACGUCGUGAGACAGUUCGGUCCCUAUCCGUCGCAGGCGUAGGAAAUUUGAGAAGACCUGUCCUUAGUACGAGAGGACCGGGAUGGACGUACCUCUGGUGUACCAGUUGUCCUGCCAAGGGCAUGGCUGGGUAGCUAUGUACGGAAUGGAUAAGCGCUGAAAGCAUCUAAGCGCGAAG